RNAcentral lists this ribosomal RNA (224 nucleotides) under uncultured bacterium. RNAcentral describes it as "partial 16S ribosomal RNA". It matches the Rfam family "Bacterial small subunit ribosomal RNA", at positions 328 to 539 of the family's 1533-position model. The record is from RNAcentral.
ACGCUCGACACCUACGGGAGGCAGCAGUAGGGAAUCUUCCACAAUGGGCGCAAGCCUGAUGGAGCAACACCGCGUGAGUGAAGAAGGGUUUCGGCUCGUAAAAGCUCUGUUGUUGGAGAAGAACGUGCGUGAGAGUAACUGUUCACGCAGUGACGGUAUCCAACCAGAAAGUCACGGCUAACUACGUGCCAACAGCCGCGGUAAUCUGAGCGGGCUGGCAAGGC